Molecule: long non-coding RNA, 498 nt
Organism: Fukomys damarensis (Damara mole-rat)
Lineage: Eukaryota; Metazoa; Chordata; Mammalia; Rodentia; Bathyergidae
Exons: 3
Source: RefSeq, a predicted model, not a curated record
CUUCUCCUGGUCACUCAAGCUUGAGUGUUCUUUCCUUUCUCAAUCCUCACUCCCCAACUCAGUCAUGUUCCUGUUGUGAGGGCUGGGCUGCCACAAGUGGCGCCCAAACAGGACCUGAGUAUCAAGGGAUCUACUGAAGGACACUGCAGAGAAGAAGGAGCGGCAAGUUUUCUUGCCGGGCGGUCCUGGCAGACGUGCUAAUGGACUCCAUGCCACAGCGGCUGAGAGACCUCCCUUGCCCCUCUGGAAGCUGAUUGUGCAGGAGUCAACUGGGGAAACAACAGCAGGAAAUUAUGCAUUCGAUGGGAACUGGGCUUCAGAGAGGACACAUGGGCCUCAGCACCAUUCCCAACAUGAGCCCUGAACACAGCACGAAGACUUCAAGGCAAGACCCAGGAACACUCUCUGCCAAGGUUCACGGAGGGAGGGAAGCAGAUUCAGACAGACACCACUAGUACAGGCACUCAAGGCCUGGGGAAAGCCUUAAACCCACUGAGA